RNAcentral lists this small nucleolar RNA (141 nucleotides) under Aotus nancymaae (Ma's night monkey). RNAcentral describes it as "Small nucleolar RNA SNORA29 (ENSANAG00000003983.1)". It matches the Rfam family "Small nucleolar RNA SNORA29". From Rfam's summary of the family: ACA29 is a member of the H/ACA class of snoRNA that guide the sites of modification of uridines to pseudouridines. The record is from Rfam by way of RNAcentral. Lineage: Eukaryota; Metazoa; Chordata; Mammalia; Primates; Aotidae.
UUUCCCAUUUGACUACCACAUUUUCUCCUAAUAAUAGAUUUUAGUGGCUAUGCUUAUGGGAUAGAUUAAAUUUGCCAUGAUCUGAAGAGGGAGGGUUUUUUUCAUGUCCUCCUCCUAUAUGAAAUGGCUGAACAGAUCUUA